Molecule: transfer RNA, 61 nt
Filed under: Proasellus escolai
Lineage: Eukaryota; Metazoa; Arthropoda; Malacostraca; Isopoda; Asellidae
Description: transfert RNA-W(---)
Source: RNAcentral
AGGAUCUUAAGUUAAUAAAACUAUUGACCUUCAAGUCAAAAAUAAUUCUAAUUAAAUCUUA